RNAcentral lists this ribosomal RNA (1291 nucleotides) under uncultured organism. Its description in RNAcentral is "bacterial SSU rRNA". It matches the Rfam family "Bacterial small subunit ribosomal RNA", at positions 41 to 1361 of the family's 1533-position model. The record is from RNAcentral.
GGCGCGCUUAAUGCAUGCAAGUCGAACGAUGAUGCCCUACGGGGGUACAUCAGUGGCAGACGGGUGAGUAACACGUAGGUAACCUGCCCUCGAGACGGGGAUAACGGCUGGAAACGGUCGCUAAGACCCGAUAUAGUCUGACCUUCGGGAGAAGGUGAGAGGAAAGGCUUCGGUGCUCGGGGAGGGGCCUGCGGCCCAUCAGCCAGUUGGAGAGGUAACGGCUCCCCAAGGCAAUGACGGGUAGGGGGUGUGAGAGCAUGGCCCCCCACACUGGGACUGAGACACGGCCCAGACUCCUACGGGAGGCAGCAGCACGGAAUAUUGCGCAAUGGACGGAAGUCUGACGCAGCGACGCCGCGUGGAUGAUGAAGGCCUUCGGGUUGUAAAAUCCUUUUCCGGGCGAUGAGGAAGGACACUAGCCUGGGAAUAAGCGUCGGCUAACUACGUGCCAGCAGCCGCGGUAAGACGUAGGACGCGAGCGUUAUCCGGAUUUACUGGGCGUAAAGCGCCUGCAGGCGGUCAGGUAAGUCGGUUGUGAAAGCCCCGUGCUCAACGCGGGGAGGCCAAGCGAUACUGCGUGACUUGAGGGCGGAAGACGGGAGUGGAAUUCCCGGUGUAGCGGUAAAAUGCGCAGAUAUCGGGAGGAACACCAGUGGCGAAUGCGGCUCCCUGGACCGCACCUGACGCUCAGAGGCGAAAGCUAGGGGAGCGAACAGGAUUAGAGACCCUGGUAGUCCUAGCCCUAAACGCUGGAUGCUAGGUGUAGGGCUGAUGAGGCUCUGUGCCGGAGCGAACGCGAUAAGCAUCCCGCCUGGGAACUACGCCCGCAAGGCUAAAACUCAAACGAAUUGACGGGGACCCGCACAAGCAGCGGAGCGUGUGGUUUAAUUCGAUGCUACACGAAGAACCGUACCUGGGUUUGACAUGCUGGUGGUACCGAACCGAAAGGGGAGGGACCAUUCGGGGAGCCAACACAGGUGCUACAUGGCUGUCGUCAGCUCGUACCGUGAGCUGUCGGGUUAAGUCCCGUAACGAGCGCAACCCUUGUCUCUUAGUUAUACGUGUCUUAGGGGACUGCCCGGUGACAAGCCGGAGGAAGCUGGGGAUGACGUCAAGUCAGCAUGGCCUUGAUAUACAGGGCUACACACACGCUACAAUGGCCGGUACAAAGGGCAGCCAACCCGCGAGGUGGAGCGAAUCCCAGCAAAGCCGGUCCCAGUUCGGAUUGCAGGCUGCAACCCGCUCUGCAUGAAGUUGGAGUUGCUAGUAACCGCGCGUCAGCCAUAGUGCG